CUCAAUCAGCUCUCUGUGGGCACUCUUUGGUUUUUCUUUGUGAAAGUACCUUAAGUUGAAGCAUGGAAAACAAUUUAUCCAUGUGCACUUUAAGAAAAAAAAACAGGGAAAUAUGAAUGUACUGAAAUACCUCCCCCAAUUUUUCAUCAAGUUCUUUGAUACUGCACAAGAUUCAUCUGUUAAGUUGCACUGCUAGGCUUCCCAAGUUUGGGAAUUCUAUGAUCAUAGGUACUCUAAACAGGUUAGAAUUAAGUUAGGGUUGGGUUAGAUCUAGUGUUAGAGUUAGAGUGAGUUUUGUUAAAAUUCAUUUGAUACUUGGCAUAAUUCAUCUUUUACAUAGCCUUACUAUUUUCCCCAGGUUUAGGCCUUAUCCCUUCAAUGGUUUGCUGUCAG
Molecule: long non-coding RNA, 393 nt
Filed under: Marmota monax (woodchuck)
Lineage: Eukaryota; Metazoa; Chordata; Mammalia; Rodentia; Sciuridae
Source: RNAcentral